RNAcentral lists this long non-coding RNA (1263 nucleotides) under Numida meleagris (helmeted guineafowl). Its description in RNAcentral is "lncRNA (ENSNMEG00000007478.1)". The record is from RNAcentral. Lineage: Eukaryota; Metazoa; Chordata; Aves; Galliformes; Numididae.
AUGGCCGGAGUGCCGCACUGCCAGCAUCCCCUGCUUAUAAACCCUGCCUCCCCCACGGAAACCCGGGGCGGUGGUGCUGGGGGGGCCUCCCUCUGCCCUCCGCUUCCCUUCUGCCUAACGUCGUUGCAUGUUUACUUUUCUGCCCAGCGCUGGGCUGCGAGGAGGAGGUCUGCCCUGUCUCAACCCCUCUGCCAAUAUGGGUGUCUUCAGAGCUGGGACAACACCCGGAAGGCUUUGGGGUCCACUGGUCACCUCAUAUCUCUGCGGAUGAUAGCAGGGACCCCUCACUCGGGCACCACUGUUCCACCAGCCCCGCUUCUCACCCCACAUCCCCCCAUGGCUCUGAGCCCCACUCACCUCUCAUCGCCCCGAACCGCUCGGAUGAGAGCAGGGGGCCUCACUGCCCCGAUUCCUGCAGCCGUCCCUUCACGUCUCCUCCCGCUGUGCUGCCGAGCAUGGCCGGAACACCCUGCUGCCCUUCCUCGUCCUGGCGAAAAGCCUUUGGGAUCCUUCAGAAGCAACUCCGUUGGCUGGGGGGCACCCCCAGGGCCAGUCGCUCUCCCAUGGCCUCUGCGGGAUGGGGUGCGGGGAGCGCAGCCGCGCUUGGCCGCCGUCCACCCAAGCGUGAGGCGCCGGGAUAUGUGCUGGAGAAGAAAGGCUGCUCCCGCGCCUGCCUCCUUCCCUCCGGCCCUAAUGACUACCAAAUGUCCCACAGAACACCACUGUGCCGGCCAAGGGGAGGGAUGGGGUGGGGAGGAGGUUGGGGAGCGUUGGGGAGGUGGAUGGGGAUGCGCUCCGGGGGCUGUGCCCAGUGAUACUGGGGGGUUUCAGGUCUGGGAAUGGGGUCUUGGUGCGUGGGGAUGGGGUCCUGGUCUGGGGAUGGGGUCUUUGACAUGGCCAUGGGGAGAUGGGGUUUGGGGUUUAGGGUGUGGGAUUUGUCAUAUCCUUUACAAGGUUCUGGUCUGGGGAUGGGAUUCUGGUGCAUGGCGUUGGGGUGAAGUGUUUGGAAUUGGGGCCUGGUCAAGGACACAGGGAGAUGACGUUUGGGGUCUGGGGUGCUGGGCAUGGCACUCACAUUUGGGUCAGGGACACGAGUUGUUAUGCUCUGGGUUCUGGGGUCCUGCUUUGGGCCCAUGGUUCUGGCUGGGGCUGUGGGUGCUGUGGUUUGGUGCGAUGGUCCUGGCUCGGAGACUUGGGGUGGGGGACCCACAUGGGUUGGGUACGUUUGGGGUGCCUCAUCCCCGAGGUGCUGGGGACCACUGA